GCAGGAAUUACAUAAGAAGUGUGCUAGCGACUGUCAAUUAUUGUCGGCGAUAAAAACGAGGCACAGCGCAAUAUAUUUAAUUUUUCGAUAAGAAUAUUGUACCAAUGUAGUGUAGAGUCCACAGUCGAAGAACUUAUGUAUUGCAUGACACAAGUAAUUAUGCAUUGCAUUAUGUAAGUUGUAUCUUUUCCUCAUUUUGCUAACUCGUCUCAUCCUUUGCAUGUUAAAUCGACAUAACAUUACAUCGUAGAAAAAGGUAAUGACAUAGUUACAAAUGCGACAUUUUUUAAGAAAACUAAGGCGAUGAAAUUCCUGUGCUAAUGUGUUAUUGAUCGAAGUUUUUUCUAAGACACACGAAUUAACACUCUGACUGCCAUGUCACUCAAAUUCAUGUGACGUAUAAAGUUUUCAAUGGGCUAUAUCACCCGGAUCAGGGUGAUGGAUCUAUUGGCUGUUAUUUGGUUGUGGUAUUUCAAAAGAUACUUAACAGGAUAUAGGCUAAUAAACUAUAGAAAUAUAUUAUUAUAAACUGCUUAAUUGAAAAGAGUAUUUCGCUUGGCAGUCAAAGUGUUAAAUUGAUGCAAGGACGGAAUGGGUAUUAAAAAGAUGCAAGUCGCAUCUGACGAAUCAUUUUGGGCAUGUUUUACGUGAAAUUUGAAAAAUGUGUUUUAAUUGAAACGUUCAAUUACUGAAAUCGGAUCGCGUGCUGCGUUCAUGGUACACAGGAUGGUAUGCGACGACAAGUCACUGGUAAUACGAGCACCUUAACCGCAGACCUUCCAGAACUUUCAUCCAGUCAUUGCGCUGGGUGAGUAUUGUUUCCACGAAACACAUAUUUCUAAAGCGAAUAGAGAAGACUACCUGGUAACACCGUCAGCAGGGCCGCGCAUCUCGCUAACGUCAUCGCAUAUCAUUCGAAAUUAUUGGUCUGACGUAACGCGGGCAAGAAUGAAUCGCGCGACAAGAAUUUCAACGACAUUUGCAUUACGAAAUUGAUUACCGUUUAGUCGCCUUAUCGGAAGGAACUUUCGAAUCGGGAUAUAACGCGUACACCUUUCCGAAUGAAAAUUCAAUAACAACCGGUUGUAAUCUUAUCACUUCCGCUGUGUUCCGUUAUUUUUUAAAGUAUUUACGUCAAACGAUAGUGCUCAAAUUUCGGCGCUACGUAACUUUACGACGACCUCGAUGAAAACAAGUCGAAAAUGAUUGUCGUAUUCUAGCUGACGCUGACGAUCUUCAUUUGAGAGAAGUUAUCGGAAACGUUGGUUCGUGACACCGAUACUCUCGCGGUUGGCGUCGUUUGACGUACGUACUUGCAUACAUGGAAACGUGAAAACAGAUUGCAGCGAACAGGAAAGAAUUUUAUAAUUUAUCAAUUCAUGACUUAAUUGCCGUCGCUCUUAAGAAAACCAUUGAGAUAAUCGAUAACGAUGACGGCGCAUUGUUCCGAUUAUAGCGACGACUUAAAUAAAUGUUCGUCGUAUUUCGCAAUCAAUCGAACAAAGCUGUGUUUACCGAAUUUGCGGUAAUGAUAGUCGAAUGAUGUUCUGCCGCAGAAUUCACGUCUGGUUACGCCAAUGCUUUUCACGAAUGGAAAUUUCCACGGCGCCGCGAGGGGCUCGCCGCGUACAACACGAUGGUGUGUCACUGACUGACUUACUAGCGCGAAAAUUGCACCGUACCAACAAGAAUACACGGUGCGAAUGCAAAAAACAAAGAAAUCCAAGUUCAGAUGAUGCAUAUUACCCCAAUCCUUGUGAUUCAUUCAUAGAUUCGACUUAUCAUGUGAUCCGAAUCCGCUCCCUUCGAUUUAUUUCUACAUGCACGAAGAUCGUGCACAUGCACGAUUAGUGCAGUCACCCCCACUGAUAUUUUUCGUGAAAUGAAGUUACACAUUCACUAAGUUAUCGAGACUAAACAGUUAAUACACAGUAAACAUUCAGUAGUAUUUUUAGAAUAUGAAAUACAAGAUUAAUUCAAUCUCUUAUACCAGUUCAUGAUAGUCGAGGUUAAUGAAUCGAUUAAACUUGGUUUUUUACGAUACUAUAAGAAUAUUUCCAGUUUAAAGCUUCUGAGAACUGUAACCAGUUCGCUAAAGAUGAGGAAAAACUGAUAGCCCACUCAGGGAAAAACUACCAGGGAAGGAAGGUUACUGAGAGAGGGUCUUUCAAGGUCCAUAGUCUAAUCUUACUGUUUGCGUAGGGAUACGGAAAAAGUAUUGCCAGAAGUUCUCGGAAAAUCUAGCUGGUCGUAUAGAAGAACCUUUCUUAACUUAUGGUUAACGAUGAACAUUCUUUAAACUUGAAAACGAUAAUGGGAAGUUUCCUAAUCCGUUCGGUAUGGUCAAAGGGUAGUAGCCUAGGGAAAGCCUACCAAUAAGGGAAGGCUGACGAAUGCCGGCCCUUUCAAGGCCUACGGCUUAAUCCUAUUUGCGAAAAAUCGUGAACGAGAAUUAGUGGUGACAUAGAACAGGCCACAGGUAAAAAAGAAAUAAUAAUUUCAGCAAAGGUAAUAAACAAAUUAACUGAAUGCACAAUAAGUAGUGUAAAAAAAAUUCUGAGGCUGGAAAAUAAUUAUCAUUCAGCCCAAGAAGUAUAACAAAUUCCAGACGUGUAUAUACCGGCCAACAAAAGCGUCGAUGGCCCCCAAUAGUUGGGUACCCUGUCCGUCAUAAAUUACUACGGACCCUUGACCAUCUGUCGUGGAUGAAGAAAAAGAUUUUCUCAGACGACACGGCCAUUAUCUCCGGGACCUUAGCACGUGUUGCAUCAACUGCGUCUGAACGAACUUGGAUUUUUGAAAUAAAAUAGUAUAACUUAUUA
Ceratina calcarata is the source of this 2822-nucleotide long non-coding RNA. RefSeq lists it as uncharacterized. The transcript is spliced from 2 exons. The record is from RefSeq and is a predicted model, not a curated record. NCBI's taxonomy places the organism in Eukaryota, Metazoa, Arthropoda, Insecta, Hymenoptera, Apidae.